CUGACAAAGAACCACAGCUGCAGGGAGGACUUGGAGAACAACUUGGAGAACAACUUGAUCACCUCCCUCUUCGGGUCCCACAGCCAUCGCAAGCACACCAACGCCCUAGAGAGAGAAAGCAUUUAAAAUGAUACAACAAUCGCACACCAUGUCUCACAGCACACUAAUCCUACACCGCUACACCAGACUUUGUUCCUUAAAACUUAUGUUUUUAAAGAAGAAGAAGAAAAAGAAAAAAGAAGAAGGAGGAGGAGGAGGAGGAGGAGGAG
This is a long non-coding RNA of Aplysia californica (California sea hare), 269 nucleotides long. RefSeq lists it as uncharacterized. The transcript has 2 exons. Lineage: Eukaryota; Metazoa; Mollusca; Gastropoda; Aplysiida; Aplysiidae. The record is from RefSeq and is a predicted model, not a curated record.